GGCUGAGAGAGCAGGGGGUGGCGGGGUGAGUGUGUGCCUCUGUCGGCCCUGCCCAUGUGGGUGGACUCUUAAAGGCAACAUCCUAUGCCUGAAAGGAAGCUACUGCUGUAGUCUGGGAAGAAGCGAGAGGGCCUGAAAGAGCCAGAGUUGAAGAGGAAAAGACAGAGAGAGGAACUCCGAAUAGUUCGUCCGGGUGUACUAAGUCCUUUGGUAUCGGAGGAGAGAGAGUAUCACCGUGAUCGAGAGUCAACACGCCCUGGAUUCCAAUCCUGGCACCUGUCCUCUGUCAACCUCAGUUCCCUCAAAUGUAAAAUAGGGACCAACAGUACCUGUACCGUGAGCUUUUCCAGCUUCCCUCCUCCCCUCGCCCCACUCGCCAUCCAGCCCCGUUUAAGCCCACUGCUGACAGACGGACUUCCGCUCCUGCCGAAUAUCGCCCUGCCCAGCCAAGAAUAUUCUAUGCACGCCUUGUUGCUGGAAUGGUUGCCAUCUGAUGGGGAGAGUCUUUCCAAGCUGGGUCUGGGGAUGAGAUUCAUUCAUAAGAAAAAAAGUAAGAAAAAUAAAGAAGAACCAGUUUCAAUACUAUGCAUUGAGUGCUGGCCCUACAGCCUGGUGGUUAGGAAGGCAGACUGUGCCGCCUACUACUCCUGUGACCUUGAACAAUGAUUUACCCCACUCUGCCUCAGGUUUCUCAUCUGUAAAUCAAGGGCAGUAUUGGUACCUACCUCAUAGAGUUGCUGGGAGGAGUAGUGAGUGUGUCAUAGUAAGAAAUAUAUGUUUGGUCUUUGUUCCGGUUCCUGACACAGAGCUCCCAAAUGCCUUGGAAUUUCCCAGGUGAUAGGAGCAUCUUUUGUUCUAAUGACAUGACUCUUGGUGGGCCUCUAGAUAGUGUCUGGAUGGGGGCUGGUCACCAGAAAGACCAAGCCUUGAUUAGAAGCCUGGAACUUUCAGCCCCACACUCUGACCUCAAGGAGGGGAAAGGGGCUGGAGAUUGAGUGGAUCGCCAAUGGCCAGUGAUUCGAUUGGUUACACCUGCAUGAUGAAACUGCCAUAAAAAUCCUUAGACUAUGGGGUUUGGAGAUCUUCUGAGUUGGUGAACACAUCCAGUUGCUGGGAGGGUGGCACACCCAGAGAGGGCAUGGGGGCUCUGUGUCCAUUCCCCGACACCCUGCCCAGUGCAUCUCCUCCAUUUGGUUGGUCCUGAGUUGCAUCCUUUAUAAUAAACUGGUAAUAUAAGUAAAGUGCUUUUCUGAGAUCUGUAAGUUGUUCUAGCGAAUUCUCAAUCCUGAGGACGGGGUUGUGGGAACCCCUUGAAUUUAUGGCCGGUCAGUCAGGAGUACUGGUGACAACCUGGGACUCGCAACUGGCAUCUGAAAUGGGGACAACUUUGGGGACUGAUCCCUUACCCUGUGAGACUUGAUGCUAUUAGGUAGCUAGUGUAGGACACCCAGGUGGUGUCCAGAGAAUUGGAGAACUGGUUGUUAGUGUGGAAAAUACACAGUAAUGUUGUGAGUAAAAAUGGCCCAGAGGGGGUUAAUGUGACAGACGGGAUAAUGGACCCAUGUAAUGCCCACUUCCCAAUCCCUGAAACCUGUGAGUAUGUCACCUAACAUGGCAAGAGACUUUGCAGAUGUGACUAAGUUAAGGAUGUUGGGAUGAGAAAAUUACCCUGGCUUAUCCCAGUGGGUCCAAUGAAAUUACAAGUGUCCUUACGUAUAAGAGGGAGGCAGGAGAGCCAGAAGAUGGAGAAAGGAGCCACAGCCAAGGAAGGCAGGCAGCUUCUAGAAGCCAGAAAAGGCAAGGAAGAGAUUCACUCCUAGAGCCUCGAGCAGGAACAUAGCCCUCCUGAUGCCUUGAUUUUAGUCCAGUGAGACCCAUUUUGAACUUUUGACCACCAGAACUGCAGGGUAAUAAAUCUGCGUUGCUUUAAGCCGCUAAGUUUGUAGUAAUUUAUUACAGCGGGAGUAGGAAGCUGGUACAGUUAACACAGGUAGAGGGCUCAGAGCAGAGCCUGGCAGGUGGGAAGAGCUCCUGAGAGUUGCUUAUUAUUGUUGCGAUUUCUCUCCAACAGCUUCUAGGUUAGAGUUGGGGGAGGUGGCAGUGAAAAAAACACCACCUGCACAAGGUUCCUGACAUCGUGGAGUUUACCUUCACAUGGAGGGGACAGAUUACAAAGAAAGAAGUAAACACAUGUUAACGAAGAGAAAGCCAGCAAAGGGGACUGUUACUGACUGGCUCCUGGGGCUGGGGUCUGUUGCAGAUGGUGAGGGCAGGACAGGCCUUCUGCAGAGGAGGCCACAUUGUGGCAGAAGCCUGAGUGCAGGAGGGAGGGCCAGUGGAGCUCCCCAGGCUGAUGGAGCAGCCAGCCGGAAGGUCCAGAUCAGGGAGAGCAAGAGGUC
Long non-coding RNA from Equus caballus (horse), 2399 nucleotides. The record is from Ensembl. NCBI's taxonomy places the organism in Eukaryota, Metazoa, Chordata, Mammalia, Perissodactyla, Equidae.